GGGGGGGCAGUGGAUCCCAGGGGAUCUACGGGAUCCCGGAGGAUCCCGUGGAAGCCCCACGGGGCCCGGGACCCCCCCCCGUGUCGGCCCCGUUCCCUUCCCGAACCCGCUGGUCCCACGUCCUCGGGGCGGCCUCCAGCAGCCUCAGGGUGUACCCCAACUCUUUGGGGUGGCCCCCCGCGUCCUUGUGGCGACCCCAAUGUUUUUGGGGUGGCCCCAAUGUCCUCGGGGUGGCCCAUAAUGUCCUUGGGGUGACCCCCACGUCCUUGGGGUGACCCCGAACAUUCUUGGGGUGUCCCCCCACAUCCUCAUGGUGGUCCCCCAACAUCCUGGGGUGCCCCCCACGUCCUCGGGGUGGCCCGUAAUGUCCUUGUGGUGACCCCAGUGUUUUUGGGGUGGCCCGAGUGUCCUCGGGGUGACCCCAAACGUUCUUGGGGCGACCCCCACGUCCUCAUGGUGCCCCCCAACAUGUCUUGGGGUGACCCCCCAGGUCCUCAUGGUGGUCCCCCAACAUCCUGGGGCGGCCCCAAUGUCCUCGUGGUGGCCCCAAUGUUUUUGAGGUGGCCCAAGUGUCCUCGGGGUGACCCCAAACAUUCUUGGGGCGACCCCCCACAUCCUCAUGGUGGUCCCCCAACAUUCUGGGGUGGCCCCCACGACCUCGUGGUGGCCCCAGUGUUUUUGGGGUGGCCCCAGUGUCCUCGGGGUGACCCCUGUAUCCUCAUGGGGGUCCCCCAACAUCUUGGGGUGGCCCCCGCGACCUCGUUGUGUCCUCCUGGUGGCCCCAAUGUUUUUGGGGUGGCCCCCAAUGUUUUCGGGGUGACCCCCAACAUUUCUUGGGGUGACCCCCCAGGUCCUCAUGGUGGUCCCCCAACGUCCUGGGGUGGCCCCCAGUGUCCUCGUGGUGUCCCCAGUGUCCUCGGGGUGGCCCGUAAUGUCCUCGGGGUGGCCCCCCCGUCCUUGGGGUGCCCCCCCGGUCCUCGGGGCGUCCCCCCCACGUGCCGCCGUGUCCCCGCAGAGCUGGAGGUGCUGAGCGCGGCGCUGCCGCGGCUGCAGGGCCCGGUGCUGGAGCUGGCCGAGGGCGCGCGGCGGCCGCUGGAGGAGCUGAUGAUGGAGGGCGACCUCCUCGAGGUGACGCUGGACGAGGCCCAGAGCAUCUGGCGCCUGCUGCAGGC
Molecule: long non-coding RNA, 1172 nt
Filed under: Anser brachyrhynchus (Pink-footed goose)
Lineage: Eukaryota; Metazoa; Chordata; Aves; Anseriformes; Anatidae
Description: lncRNA (ENSABRG00000000115.1)
Source: RNAcentral